CACACACAUUAAAAGUGCGUUUCUAAGUUCAAUUUGUUGGCCCGUGCUACCACGGGCCAACGCCUAUCUAGUAAUUUUCAUACGAGGUAGUGUUAUCAUUUCCAUUUCUUUUUCCUUUUUUUUUUUUCUUUUGCCAAAGGCUUGCAUUUCUGCUUUUCUCUUCUCCCUAUCGCAGUUCGGAUCAAGAAUGUCGAAGCAAAUUUUCAGUCUUUAAACCCUAAUACCGCAAGUUUCUGAAUUUAUGGAUUAUUAUGUGAAUCACUGAAUCUCCAUGAAUGUGGAAGUCAUGGUAUUCCUAGUUUGGGGGUGCGGUGUUGAGGUAAUAUGUGACUAAACUGCAGAACUAGGUGGAAAGAUCCAAUUCAAACGUGUUUCAGGCUAGCUAAAUGUGCAGUUCAUGUUUUCACACAGAGAGAGAGAGAGAGAGAGUAGUCAAUUGUUUCAGGCCAGCAAUGCGAUGUUUGAAUGCGGAUGAUUGAUCAGACACUGAGCUGAAACCAUGACCAUUACGAUUAUCUGAUCUUUAUUCACGUCAUUUUCCAAUCCUCUACUCUGAUUCCAAAUCCAAGUAUCCGCUUAUUUUGCACUAACAGGAGUUGCAAAAUGAAUAUCCCGAGUUAUCCUCCACAGUUCCAAGAAAAUUCCCCGCAAAGAAAUCUCGUUGCGGUGUCAAGUCUUCUUAAAAGAUAUGGUUUUCCAGCUCUAGAACUUCCGAAUUUUCUUGAGAAGAAUCGCUGUUUACAAAACUAGACCCCACCAAAAUUGAAAAGUCUCUUAAGAUUCUAUUAUCCUUGAAGCCAUCUCAAGAAUUCCUUGUGUCCGUGAUAAAUAGUUGGCCCAGGGUUCUAGAAUAUGAUGCUAUAAUGAAAUGCGAAGGAGGCAUCCGAGGAUUAGAAGAGGGGUCCAAUUAAUCCUCCUUGGCUGUGGAGAAUAUUUUGGAGGUCUUAUGAUUGUGUUUUGGGGUCUCUGAAAUGCCUCAAAGAUUUAGGGGUUAGUGAUAUUUCUGAAAAGAAGGUUUUGGAGACACAUCCCACGGUUACUAUGAUGUCUGCAGACAAGGAUCAUGACUGUUGAAUUUGUUGUUGAUGCCUUUAGGAUUGACAAUUUUGGAUUUGAUCGCAUUCUCUACAUCUAUCCAGGUGUUUUGGCCUUUGGGAUUCAAAAUAAAUUUAAGCGACUGCUUGAUGAAUUUAAAGUUCAAGGCUUUAACAUGGAGGUGGUCAAGAAACAUGUCCUGAGAGAUCCCAGAAUUCUUGCAUUGGAAGUUGGGGAGUUAUCGCGGUGUUUGGAGCUGCUUAAGAGUUUGGAAUGUAGGGAGUCUAUUAAGGAGGAUAUUUUUCAUGAGAGGGCUUUUAAGACUGGGUCCGAGGUGAAACUAAGGGUUGAUUGGCGAUCAUGGUUUAACCUUAAGGGGUGCUUAUUCUGUGUUAUGGAGAGAGCCGAGAGUGAUACUCUAUCACGUAGAGGAUGUUGAGAAGAAGAUUCAGUUUUUAAUGCACGUGAUCAGUGUUGUUAAAGGCGCGCUUAAGCCCUAAAGUGGGGGUCAACACAUGUUGAGUGCUUCCCCUCGCUUUGUGGGCGCUUUAGUGUCGUAUCAAGGCUCUAAGACAUACUUUUCCUUACCGAUGAUUGUAAUCCUGAAAAGACGACAUUAAACUAUUGAUAUUUCACUUUAUCGUAAUUUUUUUUUUUAAUUUCUUUGUCCAUAUAUUUGUUAUUCAUGCUUAUAAUUAUUAGACUUGGACUAUAAAUACAUAUUUUUACUUUUUCUCCGGCUGUGCCUUUUUUCAUUAAAGCCCACGCUUUAUUUGCACUUUGCGCUUAAAGUUCCAACCAACCUUAUAAUUUUUUUGCGCUUUUCGCCUUUGAUAACACUGCACGUGAUGAAAGUUGAUAUUCAGUGUCUUUUUGAAGUUUUAGAGUACCUGGGGGUGAAUUUUCUAGAAACAUAUUCUACCAAGAUUCAAGGUAAUUGACUAUUUAAGAGCAAUAGGAGGACUUGAUGAUGAUGUGGGGUUGAGGGAGUUGAUUAAACCUAGUAGAAUGAAAUUUUAUAAUCUAUAUUGCAAGCCUUAUCCAGAGUGUGAAGCAAUAUAUGGAAGAUUUGCAAGAAAUGCUGAAGUGAGAAGUCGACAUCCAGUGGGAAUGUGGAAGCUUUUCAAACCACAAAGUAAUCCAAAGUCCAAAGAAGAUAUUAUGAAUAUUAAGUCAUAUAUGGAUUCACUGGCUUGAGUUCUGGACCUUCCUCUAAAUUCUACCCGAAAACACAUCUAUGUAGCAUUCUCUUGGAAGAUCCUUUUCUGAGGUGGGCGCCUGAUUGCUGAACUUGAACUGUAUUCCCGU
This is a non-coding RNA of Nicotiana tabacum (common tobacco), 2343 nucleotides long. The record is from RefSeq and is a predicted model, not a curated record. Lineage: Eukaryota; Viridiplantae; Streptophyta; Magnoliopsida; Solanales; Solanaceae.